CCUCCCACACGCCUUUUUCCCUCUUCCCCACCAAUCAUUCACAAAUUCUUCAUCUUGCUUCGUUUUGGAGUUGGAAACUCAAUAAUCGUUGAAGAAUCGAGCCAUUCGUUGCCUCUACCGAUUGUUUUUCAAGAGAAAGGGUUGUUGUGCGUACGUGAGCAUAAGGAAUGAGGGUUGCUUUUGACUUGCGUAUUGUGUUGUCUAAGCAAGCGAGGGUUGUUGUGCGUACGUGAGCAUAAGGAACGAGGGUUGCUUUUGACUUGCGUAUUGUGUUGUCUAAGCAAGCGAGGUGAGCUUUCUUUUACUAAACUCUUUUACGUUUCAAAAA
Long non-coding RNA from Salvia splendens (bonfire salvia), 328 nucleotides. RefSeq lists it as uncharacterized. NCBI's taxonomy places the organism in Eukaryota, Viridiplantae, Streptophyta, Magnoliopsida, Lamiales, Lamiaceae. The record is from RefSeq and is a predicted model, not a curated record. The transcript is spliced from 3 exons.